UACGAAGGGGGCUAGCGUUGUUCGGAAUUACUGGGCGUAAAGCGUGCGCAGGCGGUUCGUUGUGUCGGCGGUGAAAGCCCCGGGCUUAACCUGGGAAUGGCCGUCGAAACUGGCGAACUGGAGUGUGGCAGAGGGGGGUGGAAUUCCUGGUGUAGCGGUGAAAUGCGUAGAUAUCAGGAGGAACACCUGUGGCGAAGGCAAUCCCCUGGACCUGUACUGACGCUCAUGCACGAAAGCGUGGGGAGCAAACAGG
This 253-nucleotide ribosomal RNA is filed under the name uncultured bacterium. Its description in RNAcentral is "partial 16S ribosomal RNA". It matches the Rfam family "Bacterial small subunit ribosomal RNA", at positions 524 to 776 of the family's 1533-position model. The record is from RNAcentral.